This is a long non-coding RNA of Hemicordylus capensis (graceful crag lizard), 586 nucleotides long. RefSeq lists it as uncharacterized. The transcript is spliced from 3 exons. The record is from RefSeq and is a predicted model, not a curated record. Lineage: Eukaryota; Metazoa; Chordata; Lepidosauria; Squamata; Cordylidae.
GGAACAGAGGAAAGAGGCCAAGGUAAGAGUGCAGAUUAGACAGUGACAAAAGUCUCAAAAGAUGAGGAAGUAGAAGUCAAGAAAAAGAAAAAGAAGGCAGACUUAGAAGCUGUGGGGCUAUAAUUGGCAAGUCUUUACUACUAGCCAUAGAUGUCCCUGCUACACAUAAUGAAGAGCUUUGCUCAUAUUGGCUCAAGUGUCUGUGCCACUGUAUGUUCUAAAAGUGCCCAACCUGAUCUGAUGGGAUAUCUGCCAGUCAGGAAGGCUGCUCUGCUUGGGGUACACAGUGAGGCUGCGGCAAUAUGCUGAAUGUGCACACAGAUCCACUCCAGCCACUAAAGAGAAUAGGAAUGUCUUUGCUGUUCUAUGUGUCUACUUGCAGCUGAUUGCUGGAGUGAAAAGGAGAUUGCAGCUUCAUCAGCAUUAUACAAGGCAGGAGCUGUAUCAAAACUUCCUAAGAAUGGCCAAAGGGACGUCCCUCUUCUUAAGAAAAAGAACAGGAAAGAAAAGGGAUUUUGUUUAUCUGGAAUGCUUCUCCCUAAAAUGAAGAGAUACUUUCUUGCAGUUCUUGACUUUCCCCCUGCAA